Molecule: long non-coding RNA, 536 nt
Filed under: Vulpes vulpes (red fox)
Lineage: Eukaryota; Metazoa; Chordata; Mammalia; Carnivora; Canidae
Description: lncRNA (ENSVVUG00000010600.1)
Source: RNAcentral
AUUUCUCCUAAUUAUGAGGUCAGAGUCCCAUAUUCAUAACAGGAUAUGAUCCAUUUUAAGGAGGAAACUGCUUCUCCAGAUACUUGAAGGUGUGAGGAUAUACACUGAAUACUUCCAGGGAGUAACCAUUGUCUGCCUAGAGUGUUCCUUACACAGGACCAAUGUCACUUUCACAAUGAAAGUUUAACCAAUUUUUUUCCUCAAGGAAUGGAGACAAGUUGAACUCUAUGUGUUCAUUGUGUGUUUCACUUCAAUAUGUACAAACUUAAAGGCAUAUAUUUUGCAAACAACAGCUAUGAAAAAAAAUGAAAUCUAUUCAAGAGUUAAAAUCCAGAGUUUUGCAAAUAGUACUGAAGUGCACCAUUCUCACCAGUCUUGCUGUUAAACUCAGAGGAUAAUCGACAGAUCCAAUAUAUAAGAACAAUGAUUGUGGCACAUCAUACAUGUAGAAAGACAGAAAUCAAAACAACCAAAAUCAGCUGGAGAUAUAAGAAGUAGAGAGUUUGCAAAAGUAAGAACUUCAGAUUAGAGUUGUU